This 329-nucleotide unclassified non-coding RNA is filed under the name soil metagenome. Its description in RNAcentral is "partial contains 5.8S ribosomal RNA, internal transcribed spacer 2, and large subunit ribosomal RNA". The stretch from base 1 to 120 matches the Rfam family "5.8S ribosomal RNA", at positions 35 to 154 of the family's 154-position model. The record is from RNAcentral.
GAUGAAGAACGCAGCGAAAUGCGAUAAGUAGUGUGAAUUGCAGAAUUCAGUGAAUCAUCGAAUCUUUGAACGCACAUUGCGCCCCUUGGUAUCCCGAGGGGCAUGCCUGUUCGAGCGUCAUUUCACCACUCAAACCUGGCUUGGUGUUGGGCGACGUCCCCUUUGGGGACGCGCCUCGAAACGCUCGGCGGCGUGGCACCGGCUUUAAGCGUAGCAGAAUCUUUCGCUUUGGAAGUCGGGGCCCCGUCUGCCGGAAGACCUACUCGCAAGGUUGACCUCGGAUCAGGCAGGGAUACCCGCUGAACUUAAGCAUAUCAAUAAGCGGAGGA